AGACAACCCUUAUAGAAUUUCUCUCCUCUCUCAAUAACUUGGAAGAAACGAGGGAUGAGAACUUCUAGCCUUUACAACACUUUUGAGCUCUAAAAAUCACAGAGUAAGAUUGGAUUUUCGGUGCCCUUUCAUGUAGGAAAGGGUGGGGUAUAUAUAGGCCCCAAACUGGUUUGAAUUUCGAGCUCAAAAAUACCUUUUCUCGGAUUUCUAGGGUUCUGGCGGUACUACCUCCUGACUGGGGCGGUACAACCGCCUGGCAGCUCGAAGAAUG
RNAcentral lists this long non-coding RNA (271 nucleotides) under Musa acuminata (dwarf banana). RNAcentral's name for it is "long non-coding RNA (MACU_LNC008570)". Lineage: Eukaryota; Viridiplantae; Streptophyta; Magnoliopsida; Zingiberales; Musaceae. The record is from RNAcentral.